This is an RNA transcript of Nelumbo nucifera (sacred lotus), 1350 nucleotides long. It is a transcript of the gene named Cytidine/deoxycytidylate deaminase family protein, with no coding region annotated. Lineage: Eukaryota; Viridiplantae; Streptophyta; Magnoliopsida; Proteales; Nelumbonaceae. The record is from RefSeq and is a predicted model, not a curated record.
CUUUCGAGCCGGACCCGCCCUUUAUUCCCGCCGUUUCUACUUAGUAUUGUUUGUGGUUUGGCGCCAUUUUUAUUUGAAUACCUGAAACUGAGAGAAACACGGAACCUCAUCCGUAGGUAUUAGUUGAGUGUAACACAGAGUGUGUUUCUUGCUACCAUAUCCGGAACGCUCAUUAGUGAAAACAGCGUUUUUUUUUUUUUGCUUUGAAUCAUUUCAGCUUUUCCUCUACUAGUAGUAGCGGUACUGCGGUAGCAGCUGCAGCUUGCAAGAGAGGAAGCUCUCUAGGGUUUUUUUCCCCUCACUUCUCUCUCAUAAUCCAUGAAUUCUCGGGAGCUCGCCCUCGUCUCCACGGCUGCCGUUCUCGGCGCCGCCGCUUAUGCUAUGGCAAUUCGUUUCCUCUUCAAUCCGAAAAGGGACUUUUAUCGAAUUGAAUCGACACAGAACGGCACGGUUGUUAAGAAAUCUCCGUCUCAGAGCCCUUUCGAUCCCUCCAAACGGAAAGGAUACUUGUCGUGGGAUGAUUAUUUCAUGGCGAUUGCAUUUCUAUCAGCGCAGCGAUCCAAGGAUCCAAACAGGCAGGUUGGAGCAUGUUUGGUUAGUGAACAUGGGAUAAUACUUGGCAUUGGCUAUAAUGGAUUUCCAAGAGGUUGUUCAGAUGACAAGCUUCCUUGGGCAAAGAAAUCCGAGACGGGGGAUCCUCUAGAGACAAAAUAUCCUUAUGUCUGUCAUGCUGAAGUUAAUGCCAUUCUGAACACAAAUCAUGCAUCUGCUGCAGGACAGAGGCUUUAUGUGACAAUGUUCCCUUGCAAUGAAUGUGCAAAGAUAAUUAUCCAGUCAGGUGUUUCUGAAGUGAUAUAUUUUGUGGAGAAGAGGUUGAAACAGUCAGAUACAGCAUAUAUAGCUUCUCACAGACUGUUAUCAAUGGCUGGUGUUAAAGUAAGCAUUGCUCAUUGCUUUAAUUAUUCUUCAUUUUUUCUUCACCUUUUUUUACCAGAACCAAGCCAUCUUUGGACCAAGUUGAGAGAAAGUGAUCAUACUCAAUGAAGCAAGGCCUUUGCUCUGCCAUUUUUCAUCAUGUUUUUGCAUGACAUGGUGAUUCUUACACUUUGAGAAGUUAGGAAGCACCAGCCACAGAUGAAUCAAAUAUUAAUCAAGUUUGAGGAGCUCUAGAAGUGUACCUGACUCAACCCUGAUUAUUGUUUCUGUAUACUGUAAAGUUUUCUUCAGUUCACAUCCAAAACAUGCUGGUCACUGUGAAAUAUCUUAAAUUAUUGACAUAUCUACGACCAAGAAAUGAGGCUUGUUGAAUUUAUUGUUGAGUAUAUUAUAACUCAUAACCUUUGGGCCUCA